RNAcentral lists this transfer RNA (84 nucleotides) under Candidatus Nanohalarchaeota archaeon. RNAcentral's name for it is "Candidatus Nanohaloarchaeota archaeon tRNA-Ser". It matches the Rfam family "tRNA". Rfam says of the family: Transfer RNA (tRNA) molecules are approximately 80 nucleotides in length. Their secondary structure includes four short double-helical elements and three loops (D, anti-codon, and T loops). The record is from RNAcentral. RNAcentral also lists the same sequence under 1 other name. Lineage: Archaea; Nanobdellati; Candidatus Nanohalarchaeota.
GUUGAGAUCGCAUAGCUUGGUAGUGCGCCAGCCUGGAAAGCUGGUCGGCUUCGGCCCUCGGGGGUUCAAAUCCCCCUCUCAACG